Molecule: long non-coding RNA, 7919 nt
Organism: Entelurus aequoreus (snake pipefish)
Lineage: Eukaryota; Metazoa; Chordata; Actinopteri; Syngnathiformes; Syngnathidae
Exons: 2
Source: RefSeq, a predicted model, not a curated record
GGGGAAAUUGCCAACUUCCUGUUGGUUUUUGCCCGAGGAUGUGAAAUUAUGAAUUGUAGGUCUAAGUGAGACCUACAUACAGGUUUUUGUUUCAUGUCUCUACGACCUUCCUAGUGGGAGUUACAGGCAGUUUGUUUUUGUUUUUUUCCUAGGGGGCGCUAGAGCGCAAGUUUGAUUUUUUUUUUUUUUACUAAAGUGUGCUGUCCCAGUUUUUCUAUGUUUGUAUAAAAUUUGGUGAGUUUUGAAGCAUGUUAAGGGGGGCAAAGUAGUGCGCAAAGCUGCGAAAUAAUAAUCAACCUUACAAUUCCAAUAGGUUCCUUUGUACCUGUAUAACAGGGAGUCCUUUAUACAGGUACAUGCGAACCCUAAUUAUGUACUCAUAUAGUAGUACAGUUGGCACAGUACAGUAAACUGACAGUUAAUAUUUCAACAUUUGACAUUUCAAACAAAUAUGAACAGAAAUAGUUCAUGCACAUUCAGAUGAAUACUUCAAAAUUACAAUUAAAAUGUUUUGUUUUUGUAUAUAUGCGCACUAAUUGACUAAAAAGAGCACGCACUUGGCGUGAUGAUGUCAUGUUAUCCAUGGAAAAAUGCAUGUUUAGACAAUAUGAUUUGCCUGAGCGGCUAGGAGACCCCGAGAGUAACAAGCGCUUGCCUUGUUGCCUUUCCAUUAAGAACAAUAAAUUAGUUUUUAGUAUAAGUUUGCUGGUUUCAAGAAAUGUAAUAUCAUUAUGUCAAGAUAAUGGCACUAGCAUUUACUUCAUUUAAGAAUAUUUUACAACAUAUUGAGCAAAAAGGUCUCUUUUUUUAUACCAAGAAAAGCGCACUUGUUAUUAGCGAGAAUAUACUUAUUUUAAGCUAUUUUUGGGUUCAUUGAAGUUAGCUAAUUAGGGACCGAGUACCCUAUUGUAUUUCUAGCGUUUUAUUAUUAUACCGCCACCUCUUUAAACUGUAAUUUGACCCCCUUAACAUGCUUCAAAACUCACCAAACUGGACACACACAUCAGGACUGGCGAAAAUUGCGAUCUAAUAAAAAAAAAAAAAAAAAAAACUCAAAAUUGCGCUCUAGCGCCCCCUAGGAAGAAAACACAGACAAACUCCCAGUAGGAAUGUCGUAGAGACAUGAAACAAAAACCUCUACGUAGGUCUCACUUGGAUCUAGAUUUCAUACACUGACAACCCCCAGCGAAAAUCAACAGGAAGUUUGCAAUUCCCCCUUCAAAACAGAGGUUGAGUAAAAACAGUCACCUAUUUUCAAACAUUAUCUCCUCUGAGCGCGUUUGUCGUGUGGGCUUUAAACUAGCACAGGAGAGAGAUUGAACCCUUCUGAUUAAAAGUUGAUGAAAGAGUUUUGAUUACUGCUCCGGUUUGGAUAUUAUGAGCCCUCAAAGUCGGUCCCGUCCGUCGCUCCGAUUGCUGGCACGGCCACUCUACCAACUUCGCCACGCCGUCCCCUCUAUGUAGGUCUCACUUAGACCUAGAUUUCAUACGCUGACAACCCCAAGCAAAAAUCAACAGGAAGUUUGCAAUUCCCCCUUCAAAACAAAAGUUGAGUAAAAAAAGUCACCUUUUUUUAAACAUUUUAUCCUCUGAGCGCGUUUGUCGUGUCGGCUUCAAACUAGCACAGGAGGGAGAUUCAACCCUUAUGAUUAAAAUUUGAUGAAAGCGUUUUAAUUACUGCUCCGGUUUGGAUUUUAUGAGCCCUCAAAGUCGGUGCCGUCCAUCGCUGCUUGCCGCUUUAAUUAGGGUCCGCACGUACCCUGUACAAAGGACUCCCACAGGGAGUCCUUUAUACAGGGACAAAGGACACUAUUGAAAUUGUAAGGCUUUAUUAUUAGGGUCCGCCUGUACCCUGUAUGGGAGUCCUUUGUACAGGUUACAAAGGAACCUAUUGAAUUUGUAAUGUUUAUUAUUAUUAUUCCGCCGCCACAAAAAACGCUAUUUUGACCCACUUAACAUGCUUCAAAACUCACCAAAUGUGACACACACAUCAGGACCUGCGAAAAUUUCCAUAAAAUCAAAAAACCAAACCCCAAAACUCAAAAUUGCACUCCAGCGCCCCCUAGGAAAAAACAAAAACAAACUGCCUGUAACUCCCACUAGGAAGGUCGUAGAGACAUGAAACAAAAACCUGUAUGUAGGUCUCACUUAGACCUACAAUUCAUAAUGACACAUCCUCGGGCAAAAACCAACAGGAAGUUGGCAAUUUCCCAUUUAAGACAAAAAUGUACUAAAAACACUCAUUUUUUCCUCUUUGACCUCUAAUUUGACCCUCUUAAAAUACUUCAAAACUCACCAAACUUCUCACACACAUCGGGACUGGUGGAAAUUGCGAUCUAAAAAAAACCCGAACCCCAAAACUCAAAAUUGCGCUCUAGCGCAAUUUUUGAAUAAAACAGAGACAAAACUGCUUCUCAGAGGAAAACACAGACAAAACUGCUUGUAACUUCCGGUAGGAACGUCUUAGAGACAUGAAACAAAAACCUCUACGUAGGUCUCACGUAGACCUACAUUUCAUAGAUUGACAUCCUUCUGCAAAAAUCAACAGGCCAAAUGUUCUUCUUCUAUUGGCAGAUAAUUUUGCUUAGUUCAAAUAAAAUACCCCUCAUUUUUGUAUUUUUUUGUUCUUGUUUUUGAACACUGACUUUUUGCAGCGCAGCCGCACCGGACUAUAAGUACAAUGUGAGUUGAGGUAUUUACACAGCAAGACGUUGUCAGUGGUAUUCACUUUUGGUGAAUCUACAAAACCGUAACAACACAAAAAGAAUGCCGGCGUUAGUUAAUACUAACAAAGGACACUUGUAAACAUGUUAGCAUACUAGCUAAUGCCAUUGACACAUAUGAAUGAAAACACUUUUACGCACAUGGGACGGUUGAGUACGUGAGGAUUGUUGUAGUUAUAUUGUAAAACUUACAAACGUCGCCCGUGGCGAUGAAUGAAAAAAAAAUAAACGAACGGCACUUGUACUUCCGGUUGAAAGCUCAGUCUAAACAGAAUGAACAAUAUUAAAAACAAUAUUCAAAUAUUAUCCUUAGCUCCACCAAUGACUGAAUAAAAACAAAAAAUAAAUAAAUAUAAAACCAAUAUAAAAAUAAAUAUGAUUAAAAACGAUUUUAAUGGGUAAAACCAAUUAAAACAAUAAAUAGAAAUCAACAUUUAACCACACAAGUCACGUAGUGUUAAAAGCCAGAGAAUAAAAGUGGGUCUUAAGACGAGACUUAAGAGAGUCCACUGUGGGAGCAGUUGGAACAUGGAGGGGCAGAAUGUUCCAGAGCUUAGCCCGGUCUCCCCUGGUUUUAAGUCUGGCCUUGGGCACCACGAGCUGGAGCUGGAUCUCGGUCCCAAGUGUACAUUUGGAUGAGGUCUGAGAUAUAAUGAGGUGCCAGUCCGUGCACGGCUUUAAAAGCAAACAGCAAGAUUUUAAAAUCAAUUCUAAAAUGAACAGUGAGCCAGUUUUUUUAUUAUUAUUAUUUGCAUUGUGGCCGAAGGAAAAAUCCAUAAAUUAGAAACACUCGUUUUAGGAACCGCAGGGUGUAAAGCGUAGGAAAAGGCUUAUAGUCCGGAAUGUACGGUACUCAGGAUGGGAAUUCAACAAAAGUGUCCAAAAAAAAUCUCGUUAGCGAUGCGCUCUCUCUCUCUCGCCAUGUGCUGCACUCCUGUUUCCAAGCGAGCGUCGUGUUAACGGAGGGAACCAACAGCGCCUCUGCAGGUUGCAGCCGAGUACUGCACGCCAUUUUGCCUCAACAGAAUCAUUCUGGAACAUACGCGUCUGUUCUGAGACUUGAGUGUAUUUUGCUGUUGUGUUGACAUUAUUUGGGUCUUAACUGAAGAAACUAGCUUGUUGUCUUUUAAAAGAGUUUGUCUCCAUAAGUACUUCAAAACUGCACUCACACACAUUUAGUAGGAGUUUGCACAAAAAUAUGUGAGUAUUUUGGGCUUUAUUUGUCUUUUUAAUGGACACUGAUAACAAUCAACAACGUAAAAUGCAGUUCAAAUAUAAAUGAUAAUAAUAAUAAUAGAUUUUAUUUGUAAAAAACUAGGGAUGUCCGAUAAUGGCUUUUUGCCGAUAUCCGAUAUUCAGAUAUUGUCCAACUCUUUAAUUACCGAUACCGAUAUCAACCGAUAUAUGCAGUCGUGGAAUUAACACAUUAUUAUGCCUAAUUUGGACAACCAGGUAUGGUGAAGAUAAGGUACUUUUUAAAAAAUAAUAAUAAAAUAAGAUAACUAAAUUAAAAACAUUUUCUUGAAUAAAAAAGAAAGUAAAACAAUAUAAAAACAGUUACAUAGAAACUAGUAAUGAAUGAAAAUGAGUAAAAUGAACUGUUAAAGGUUAGUACUAUUAGUGGAGCAGCAGCACGCACAAUCAUGUGUGCUUACGGACUGUAUCCCUUGCAGACUGUAUUGAUAUAUAUUGAUAUAUAAUGUAGGAACCAGAAUAUUGAUAACAGAACGAAAUGGGGGGAGGGAGGUUUUUUGGGUUGGUGCACUAAUUGUAAGUGUAUCUCGUGUUUUUUAUGUUGAUUUAAUUAAAAAAAAACAAAAAAAAACGAUACAGAUACUAAAAAAAACCGAUACCGAUAAUUUCCGAUAUUACAUUUUAACGCAUUUAUCGGCCGAUAAUAUCGGCAGGCCGAUAUUAUCGGACAUCCCUAUAAAAAAAAACUUUACAUUGAGCAAACAACCUCAAAGUGCUACAGUGUAUUGAAAAAAAUAAUAAUAAUAAAAAGGUAAUAAAAAAAUAAAAACUAGAACAGCCUAAUAGCUAGAACUAGUAUACAUAUAUCUAUAAAAAAAAAAAAAAUUUCUUUAAAAAGGGUUUUUAAGCCUUUUUUAAUAGCAUCCACAGUCUGUGGUGCCCUCAGGUGGUCAGGGAGAGCGUUCCACAGACUGGGAGCGGCGGAGCAGAAAGCCCACAGUUCGUAGCUUUGUCCUGGAAACGAUGACACGGCAGUCCGUACUAUCCUCAUUAAUGCUGCGGUGUUGUCGUUCAUUAUUCUUAAAAAUAACCUGAAGCAUCAUUUAAGAUAAAACAAAGUGGAUAUAGAAAGUAAUCACGACCUUGUUGAUUCUUUGAUGACGGCACAGCAGCAUAUCAUGCUUUGUCAUUACACUCCUCUCGUUUAUCGGCCUAAAAGCAUCAUUUUAGUUGCGACAUCAAGUGGAUAUACAAACCAUUCCGAUCAAAUAGUUCUAUCUCCCUUUUUAACACGUUGUUGUUUAUCAAUCCCAGCAGCAUAUCAUGUUUGAUCGUUACUUAAACGCUGUCGUUUUUAAAGAAAAUAAAACGACUGUUAUUCAAAAUAGCCUAUAAACAUUAUUUCCCUUGUGACCUGCGUUGGAUAUAGAAAGUGAUCACACACCUGUUAUUUUUUCAAAGAUUGCAUAGCAGCAUAUCAUGCUUUGUCAUUACACCAGCAAAUAUUCAUUCCUCAUCCUUAAAGCAUCAUUUUAGUUGCGUCAUGAAGUGAAUAUAGAAAGUAAAAACAAGCUUGAUAAUUAUUAUUUUUUAUGAUGGCACAACAGCAUAUCAUGCUCUGUCAUUACCUCACUACUACAUCAAAUAUUCAUAUAUCCUCAUGACUUUGUUGUUGUUUAUCAAACCCGGCAGCAUGUCAUGCUCAGUCGUCACCAUGCCGACGCCAUCAACGCACUUUUGUUGCUGUUGUGAUUUAUCGGCGUGUCAUGCUUCAUCGUUACUAUCCAGACGCCAUCAACGUACCCAUGUACAGUAUUUAUGCUGCCACAGCAGGAUAUCAUGCUCUGUCAUUACUAAAUACGGUCCAAUAGUUCUAUAUUCUUCUUUAACAUGUUGUUGUUUAUCAAUCCCAGCAGCAUAUCAUGUUUGAUCGUUACUUAAACCGUGUCGUUUUUAAAAGAAAAUAAAACAACUGUUGUUGAAAAUAGCCUAAAAACAUUAAUUUCGUGUUUUCCGUGUUGCUGUUGUGAUUCAUCAAUGGCAGCAGCAUGUCAUGCACUAUCGUUGUGGCGCAGCAGUUGUUUUCUAUCGUAAAAAAAUAUAUAUAUAUGGUAAUAAAAAAAUGUUAAAUCAAAGUGUAAAAAAUAUUCUGUCGGGGUAAAAUAUAUUUAAGAAAAUAAUGAAAUAAAAUACAAUUAUGUCAAAUAUAAGUUCACCCAGCUUUAUCAAUGACAGCAGCAUGUCAUGCUCUAUCGUUACUAUUGCAGAUUUUUAUGUCAUAAAAAAAAGUAUCUUAAAAUUACAGAGAAAAACUGUGAAAUCAAAGUAUAAAAAAUAUUCUAUUAAGGUAAUAAUAUAUUAAAUUAAAUAAUGAAAAAUAUAAAUUCACCCAGCUUCAUCAAUGACAGCAGCAUGUCACGCUCUAUCGUUACUAUUCAAGAAUUUUCUGUCAUAAAAAAAUGUUUACUAUAUAAAAAUUAUCUUAAAAUUUAGAGGAAAAACUGUAAAAUCAAAGUAUUAAAAAAUAUUCUGUUAAGGUAAAAAUAUAUGAAAUUAAAUAAUGAAAAAUAUAAAUACAUCCAGCUUCAUCAAUGACAGCAGCAUGUCACGCUCUAUCGUUACUAGUCAAGAACUUUCUGUCAUUAAAAAAAAUUGACUAUAUAAAAAUGAUCUUAAAAUUAAAAAGAAAAACUGUAAAAUUAAAGUAUAAAAAAUAUUCUAUAGAGGUAAAAAUAUAUUUAAAAAAUAAUUAAAUGAAAUGAAAUAUUGAAAAAAUAUAAAUUCAUCUAGCUUCAUCAAUGACAGCAGCAUGUCAUGCUCUAUCAUUACUAUUCCAGAUUUUUAUGUCCUAAAAAAAAUUAAGACUAUAAAAUAAGUAUCUUAAAAUUACAGAGAAAAACUGUAAAAUCAAAGUAUAAAAAAUAUUCUAUUAAGGUAAAAAUAUAUUAAAUGAAAUAAUGAAAAAUAUAAAUUCAAAAAAUAUCUUAAAAUGAAGAACUGUAAAAUCAAAGUAUAAAAAAUAUUCCAUGGAGGUAAAAAUAUAUUUUAAAAAUAAUGAAAUAAAAUAUUGAAAAAUAUAAAUUCACUCAGCUUUAUCAAUGAUAUUAUCAUUAAAUUACAAAUAAGGAGCUCAUCUUUUUGUGCAAUUUCCUACUAAAUUCGGGCUUGUUUGGCUUUUAUUUUGUCAUUUCCACACGAAGCCACUUGUCCCAAAACUUCCUGUUGACUUUGUGGUCAACAACAACGUCUCGCCCCUGACCCCUGACCCCUGACCUUUAGUCAACCAACACAAUUGUCCUUUUUCAGAGUUGAGUAGGGAUGUGUGUCACCUCGCGUCGCUUCACUUCUUCACCCAGACUCACAACAGUUGCAAACGUGUGCGUGAACGUGUGAAUUGUCUCACUUGUCCACCAAUAGAAGGAAGCAACUUACUUUUCUUCUUUUUUUUUAAUAGCAAGACCGCAUUUAAACCAGCGUGUUCAUGAAGGUAGCGUGUGUGUGUGUGUGUGUGUGUGUGUGUGUGUGUGUGUGUGUGUGUGUGUGUGUGUGUGUGUGUGUGUGUGUGUGUGUGUGUGUGUGUGUGUGUGUGUGUGUGUGUGUGUGUGUGUGUGUGUGUGUGUGUGUGUGUGCACCAUCUAUGUAGUUGUGUGUUUUCGCUGAUUGUCUUAUUGACUCGUAACUGUUGCCUCUUUUUGGACGAUGUCAUGAGUGUGUUAGGACACACCUUGUGUACAUAAAUAAAUAAAUAAAUAAAUAGACGCUCCAAAGACCAAAAUACAGACUUUGUAUUGGCAUCUCUUGUCUUAAGCAACUAUAACUGGACUUACAGUCACGCUGUACUGAUUUCAUGCUAGUGACCUUUUCCUGUCUUCUUUUGCAUCCUCUUUCCUACCAUUUGUAUAGAAAGAUGUUCUAUUUUGUACAUUUUAUGUUGUUGUUGUUGUUGUUUUUAUUGUUGUCUUUUCCUCCUGAUUAAAAUAAAAAAAACCUUUUGGAAACAUA